CCUACGGGAGGCAGCAGUGAGGAAUAUUGGUCAAUGGGCGGGAGCCUGAACCAGCCAAGUCGCGUGAGGGAAGACGGUCCUAUGGAUUGUAAACCUCUUUAGGCGGGGAGCAAUGCCGGGCACGUGUGCCCGGAGGGAGAGUACCCGCAGAAUAAGCAUCGGCUAACUCCGUGCCAGCAGCCGCGGUAAUACGGAGGAUGCGAGCGUUCUCCGGAUUUAUUGGGUUGAAAGGGUGCGUAGGCGGAUUUUUAAGUCAGCGGUAAAAUGUCCGGGCUCAACCCGGGCCGGCCGUUGAAACUGGGGAGCUUGAGUGGGCGAGAAGUAUGCGGAAUGCGUGGUGUAGCGGUGAAAUGCAUAGAUAUCACGCAGAACUCCGAUUGCGAAGGCAGCAUACCGGCGCCCGACUGACGCUGAGGCACGAAAGCGUGGGGAUCGAACAGGAUUAGAUACCCCAGUAGUC
This 460-nucleotide ribosomal RNA is filed under the name uncultured bacterium. RNAcentral describes it as "partial 16S ribosomal RNA". It matches the Rfam family "Bacterial small subunit ribosomal RNA", at positions 338 to 795 of the family's 1533-position model. The record is from RNAcentral.